UACGAAGGGUGCAAACGUUGCUCGGAAUUAUUGGGCGUAAAGCGCACGUAGGCGGCUUUGUAAGUCGGAUGUGAAAUCCCUCGGCUUAACCAAGGAAGUGCAUCCGAAACUACAGAGCUUGAGUACUUAAGAGGAUCGCGGAAUUCCCGGUGUAGAGGUGAAAUUCGUAGAUAUCGGGGAGGAACACCAGUGGCGAAGGCGGCGAUCUGGGAAGAUACUGACGCUGAGGUGCGAAAAGCGUGGGGGAGCAAACAGG
RNAcentral lists this ribosomal RNA (256 nucleotides) under uncultured bacterium. Its description in RNAcentral is "partial 16S ribosomal RNA". It matches the Rfam family "Bacterial small subunit ribosomal RNA", at positions 524 to 776 of the family's 1533-position model. The record is from RNAcentral.